RNAcentral lists this ribosomal RNA (250 nucleotides) under uncultured bacterium. RNAcentral describes it as "partial 16S ribosomal RNA". It matches the Rfam family "Bacterial small subunit ribosomal RNA", at positions 524 to 773 of the family's 1533-position model. The record is from RNAcentral.
GACAGGGGGUGCUAGCGUUGCUCGGAAUCACUGGGCGUAAAGCGCACGUAGGUGGUCCCGUAAGUCGGGUGUGAAAGCCCUCAGCUUAACUGAGGAACUGCGCCCGAUACUGCGGGGCUUGAGGUUGGGAGGGGAGAGUGGAAUUCCUGGUGGAGCGGUGAAAUGCGUAGAUAUCAGGAGGAACACCGGUGGCGAAGGCGACUCUCUGGUCCAAUCCUGACGCUGAGGUGCGAGAGCUAGGGGAGCAAAC